Long non-coding RNA from Cannabis sativa, 1302 nucleotides. RefSeq lists it as uncharacterized. The record is from RefSeq and is a predicted model, not a curated record. Lineage: Eukaryota; Viridiplantae; Streptophyta; Magnoliopsida; Rosales; Cannabaceae. The transcript has 4 exons.
AAUAGUUUUUUAUUUUUUUAAUCAAAAAUUCAGCAAUUGAAAAUAAAAGCACGUUCGGUUAAAACUUUCUGUUUUUUGUUUUUUUAAUUUAAAAUCAAAUUUAUGUAAAUUUUAAAAAAAAUUUUUAAAUGAUUUUAAAAAAUUUUAAAAGCACUUUUUUCUCCUUUUCUCGCUUCUUCGUCAACUCUGCGAUUUCAAGCUCAACGGUCUUCAAUGGCUUCCUUUCAGUAUUCUUGCCGAAUUUGAAGCUAGGGUGUCGUUUUUGAAGUACUCAAUAGUUGUUCGGAGAAUUAAAACAGAUUGAAUAGAUGGCAUGAACAGAUAGUGAGGUGGUUAUGAUUGAUAAUAGCGAAGCUUCUGUUUGGCCUGAAAAACAUGAAGAAAUUUUUAUUGAACUCAUGGAAGAAGAAGUUGUGAAGGGAAAUAGGAAUACUACAACUUUUACAAAGCAAUCGUGGAAGCGUAUAAAGGAGGAGCUUUGUGCACAAGCAAAGAGAAGUUAUAUUGAUAAACAACUGAGGAACAAAUAUAAUUUGUUAAGACAAAAGCACAAGGAUUUCAAGUCUUUACUGAAAGAGACUUGCAUAGGAUUUAGUGUAGUGACUGGAGAAGUUACUGCACCAGAUGAAUAGUGGAAUAGGCUAAUUCAGGUUAACAAGUCAGCUAAUAAAUUUAGAAAAAAUGGUUGUGUACUUUAUGAAAAGUUAUGCAUUAUUUUCGGUGAUACCACUGCAACUGGUUCCAAUGCUCAUCCUUCAACUCUUGAUAAUGAUGAUGAUGAUGCUAUGUCAAAGAGUCCAUCUAUUAGGAAUCAAGAGAGUAGUUUUGAUGAGGAUGGUAGCAAAAGAAGAGGUAAAUCAACUUCCACUACGAGUUCUCGAUCGGCAAAAAAAGCAAAGUUUUCACUCGCAUUGGCAGAAACAUUGACAGUGUAUAAUGAAACCGCAAAGCGAAAGAUGGAAAUGUAUGAGAAUUCAAUGACAUCGACAAAACAUCACUUAUUGGAUGAGUAUAUUGAAGCUCUCAAUCAAAUUGAUGUAAUCAGUGGAGAAGUAUAUGCAAAGGCUAUUGAGAAGUUUGAGAGCGAAGUGUCUAGAGCAUUGUUUCUAAAGAUGCCAGUUAAUAGAAGAAUUGAUUGGUUGAACUAUUUGAAGUGAUUUUUUUUUUAGUUUGUUUAGCCUUUACACUUUAUAAUUGUUGAGAUUUAUGAAUGAUUUAGUUUCUAUGAAUAACUUUGUUUGUAAGCAUGACUUUGUUUGUAUGACAUUGUUUGUAUGAAUGACUUGUUAGUUAUUUACUUUA